AUUAAUUUAUGCGAUUAUUAAAUAAUGUUUUUAUUAAAAAUAAUAUUUUUAUUAUGUAUUAUUAUUCAUUAAUUUAUUUUAAAACUGUUUUUUUAUUAUGUUUAGUUAGUCCUAGCCGUACAAAUUGUUUUUUUCAAUUUAGUUUUUUUAAACAUAUUAAUUGACUUUGUACAAUAUUUACAUUUAAAACUUUAAUUUUAUUAUUUUUUAAAACACUAAAAGUAUCUUAUUUUUUUACUAAGUUAUUAUUAAUUUUAAAUAAAAUUUUUUUUUUCCUCCGUUAUAAUUUUUUAAUAUUAUUAAUUUAUCGUUGAUUUAUUAUUAUACCUAAAUUAUAUACUUUUUUAAUAUUUAAAUAUAAAUUAUUUAUAUUAUUAUUUAUUCCAAAAUAUUCAUAUUCUUUUAAAAAAUUAAAAAAUAUUCGACGAAUAAAGAAAAAAUUAUUAAAACGAAUUUUUAUAAAAAAUUAAUAUAAUAUAUUAAUAUAAUAUAUUAAUAUAAUUGGAUAUAACUUAUAUUAAUAUUAUGAGUUUGACUCUGGCUCGGAGUGAACGCGAGCAAAGUGUUUUGACACAUGCGAAUAUUUAGUAUAAUUAAUUUAUAUUAUAUUAAUAUGUACGGGUGAGUAUUUAGAUAAUUAGUUUAUAGUUUCAUUAAUUUUUGAAAUAUUAAAUAUAAAUUAUAUUAUUAAUAAAAUUAAAUAGUAGAUGUUUCUAGUUGAUAAUUUUUAAUUAAAUUGAGAGAUGAUUUAAUCACAUGGGGAUUGCAAAGGGCCCUACCGUUGGCAGCAGUGGAGAAUAUUGGUCAAUGAUUUAAUUUGAACCAGCGCUUUGCGGGAAUGAUAAAUUUUUUAAAAUUAUGAAGGCUAUGACAGUUGUAAAGUUCAAUCGUAAAAUAAAAAAUUGAUAUUAUUUUAAAAAGAACCCCAGGCUAACAACGUGCCAGCAGCUGCGGUAAGACGUUGAGGGGGAAGCGUUACUGGUCGUGAUUGGGUGUAAAAGUAACUAAACGGUUUAAUAGAUAUUUAUUAUUAGUUUUUUUAAUUAACUCUCUAUAAUUAUACAUUAAUACUAGAAUUUAUAAAAUGUAAAUAACAUGAUAAUAGAAAAGAUGAAAUUUGUUUAUAGUAUUAUUAUAUUAUCAGCUGUACGACGAUUUACAAUUAUAUAUUGACGUUGAAUUACUGGAGUAUAGGUAUCGAUGUGGAUUUGAGACCCAAGUAGUCUAUACCGUGAAUUAUGAAUGCUUAUUUUAAUUAACAUUUCAAGCAUUUUACCUGAAAAGUACGGCUGCAAAGGCAAAAUUUAAAGAGAUUGGCGGGAAUUUAAAUAAAUGGUGGAAUAUGUGGUUUAAUUUGAUAAUCCACGGAAAAUCUUACCAAUGUAGAACACUAAAUUAAAUAUUUUUUUAUUGGAAAUAUAUUGAUAAUUUUUGUAUUGGCAUUGCAUGGCUGUCGGCAGUUUGUAAUUUAAAUUUAUUUACAAACGUAAUCUUAGAUAAUUAUUAAUUUAAUUGUAUUUAUUUAAUUCAAAUUUAAAUAAAAUAGUUUAAUAUAAUUAUUAUACUAUAGUAUAAACGUAAUUAAUAUGAGGUGUGAUUAGUUAUUAAUAUAUUUUUUUAAAUAUAUUAUUACUAGUUAUUACUAAUUAUGAUUAUUUUAAUAUGUGGUAUUUAUUGAGGGGAAGUCAAGUCAUUAUGAUCUAGAAAUGUUGGGCUACACACGUAUUACAGGGGUAAAAACAAAAAAUAUUUAAAUUGUAAAAUUUAUAUAAAUUUAAAAAAUUACCAAAGUUCGGAUUGUAUAUUGUAAUUAAUAUAUAUGAAGGUGGAAUCAUUAGUAAUUAUAAAUAAUAAUGUUAUAAUGAAUUUUUUUUGAAUUUUGCACACACCGCCCAUCAUAUUCGAAGAAUUUUUUUGGUUUUAUGAAAGAUUAUUUUUUUAAAUAAAAAAAAUUAAUUAAUAUUUAAUAAGAGUAUUUUUUAGAAACAGGGGGGUAAUUUGGAUGAAGUUGAAACAAGGUAAUAAUAGGGGAACCUGUUGUUGGAAUAUUAAUUAUAAUUAUUAUAAUAAAUAUAUUAUAAUGAGUAUAUUAUAAUAAAUUAAAAAUAAUUAAGAUUUGAUUGUAUUAAAGGGAUAUCUUUAUAUUAAAUAAUAAUAAAUAAUAACGAUAUUGUAGAUUUAAUGUAGUUUUAAUUAAUAUUGAUAUUAAAAUAAAAUAAAUUAUUUAAAAUGAAGUAAAUUAUUAUAUUAAUUUUAAACAAAAUUCAAACGAUUAAAAAAUUAGUAACGACGAGUGAAUAUUUUAAGUUUUUAAUAUAAAUCUUAAUUAUGAAAUAUUCUAUAAAUUAUAUAAGUUAUAUAUAAAUUAUAAAUAUUAUAUAAAAUAAGGUUUCAAUCCUGUAAUAA
This 2406-nucleotide ribosomal RNA is filed under the name Euplotes aediculatus. Its description in RNAcentral is "small subunit ribosomal RNA". The stretch from base 520 to 2056 matches the Rfam family "Bacterial small subunit ribosomal RNA". Lineage: Eukaryota; Ciliophora; Spirotrichea; Euplotida; Euplotidae. The record is from RNAcentral.